RNAcentral lists this ribosomal RNA (496 nucleotides) under uncultured bacterium. Its description in RNAcentral is "partial 16S ribosomal RNA". It matches the Rfam family "Bacterial small subunit ribosomal RNA", at positions 28 to 507 of the family's 1533-position model. The record is from RNAcentral.
GAUGAACGCUGGCGGCGUGCCUAAUACAUGCAAGUCGAGCGAACAGAUGAGGAGCUUGCUCCUCUGACGUUAGCGGCGGACGGGUGAGUAACACGUGGAUAACCUACCUAUAAGACUGGGAUAACUUCGGGAAACCGGAGCUAAUACCGGAUAAUAUAUUGAACCGCAUGGUUCAAUAGUGAAAGACGGUUUUGCUGUCACUUAUAGAUGGAUCCGCGCCGCAUUAGCUAGUUGGUAAGGUAACGGCUUACCAAGGCAACGAUGCGUAGCCGACCUGAGAGGGUGAUGGCCACACUGGAACUGAGACACGGUCCAGACUCCUACGGGAGGCAGCAGUAGGGAAUCUUCCGCAAUGGGCGAAAGCCUGACGGAGCAACGCCGCGUGAGUGAUGAAGGUCUUCGGAUCGUAAAACUCUGUUAUUAGGGAAGAACAAAUGUGUAAGUAACUAUGCACGUCUUGACGGUACCUAAUCAGAAAGCCACGGCUAACUACGUG